Molecule: ribosomal RNA, 479 nt
Filed under: uncultured Pseudomonadota bacterium
Lineage: Bacteria; Pseudomonadati; Pseudomonadota
Description: bacterial SSU rRNA
Rfam family: Bacterial small subunit ribosomal RNA
Source: RNAcentral
UGGGGAAUAUUGGACAAUGGGCGAAAGCCUGAUCCAGCAAUGCCGCGUGAGUGAUGAAGGCCUUAGGGUUGUAAAGCUCUUUUACCCGGGAUGAUAAUGACAGUACCGGGAGAAUAAGCUCCGGCUAACUCCGUGCCAGCAGCCGCGGUAAUACGGAGGGAGCUAGCGUUAUUCGGAAUUACUGGGCGUAAAGCGCACGUAGGCGGCUUUGUAAGUUAGAGGUGAAAGCCUGGAGCUCAACUCCAGAAUUGCCUUUAAGACUGCAUCGCUUGAAUCCAGGAGAGGUGAGUGGAAUUCCGAGUGUAGAGGUGAAAUUCGUAGAUAUUCGGAAGAACACCAGUGGCGAAGGCGGCUCACUGGACUGGUAUUGACGCUGAGGUGCGAAAGCGUGGGGAGCAAACAGGAUCAGAUACCCUGGUAGUCCACGCCGUAAACGAUGAUAACUAGCUGUCGGGGCUCUUAGAGCUUCGGUGGCGCAG